RNAcentral lists this long non-coding RNA (1121 nucleotides) under Canis lupus familiaris (dog). Its description in RNAcentral is "lncRNA (ENSCAFG00845029986.1)". The record is from RNAcentral. Lineage: Eukaryota; Metazoa; Chordata; Mammalia; Carnivora; Canidae.
AUGAAGAGAAACUCGAAAACUCAAGCAAGAGUCUGCUUCCCUUUAAUUGUUUUUGCCUCUGACUUGUAUUGCCUUUUAUUGCCUCUACUUAUGGCAGUAGAAGCUGCGAGCAUGGUAAGGAAAAAAGAGACAGCUAAAACUGACUUGGCACUGAAUCCUGUCACACAGCAUUGCAGGCUUUCUCUUCCCUUUGGUGGCUCACUUCUGGAUCUGCAAUACUUACUCGUAAGAAAAAGGAAAUGAUGAUUAAGGACAUUAAAUGAAAAAGGUGUCUUCCAACUACCCUACCUGGAGAUCAAAAUAAUCUACCAUGCCUGGAAAACAGCAAGAGAGCCUCAUGGUCAUGAUGGAUACAACAAAGUCCUGUCUUGAGAAACAAUCACAAAUUUGUUUUCUUAUCAUCUAUUUCUGAACAACUGCAAACUGAAUUUCAAAAACUUGACUGCAUGUCAGUUAUUCUUUCUAUUGAAAACUACUUGUUUUGCACCAUUUUGAUACAUGGACCAAAAUAAAGAUAGAGAGGUUAUCUUCUCUAUGGUAACUACACAACAAAGAACGUUUUCUUCGUACAAGAAGAGUUUCACAUAGCUACAUUUUUCACCAUUUAAGACCCAAGUUCUUUCAUUUUUCCAAGUAAUCCAAAUAAUAACUAACGCUUAUUAUGCUCCAGAUAUUACUUCUCGUGCCUUCCACAAGCUAUCUCAUUUAAUUCUUGCAAUUAUUCUAUGGGUUAAGACUAAUAUUAAUUCUAUUAUAUAGAUGAGGAAACUGAGCCUCAUGGAAGUUAUAUAAUUUGCUCAUGGGGAGAUGCUCAACAUGUGCUAGAGCUGGGAUUUGAACCCAGACAGUCUGGAGCAUCAUGAGAGUUUACAUUUUAAUAAUCACAAUAAUUUAUAACAUGUCCAAGGUCAAACUCAGUAUUUCACUCCUCUUUUAAACUUUUCCUCAUUCUUGGGGGUGGGGGGUAGAAAGAAACUUUUCCUCAUUCUUUAUCUUGUAUUUGAGUAUCUCACAACCAUCCCCUCCAAUUGCAUAUAAGCAAUCAUCGAAUCUUACAGACUUUUUAACUCUUUAUCUCUUUCAUGAGGUCUAUAUUCAUAUACACAUCUGCCUACUAAAAU